CGUACACUCCUACGGGAGGCAGCAGUGGGGAAUAUUGGACAAUGGGCGCAAGCCUGAUCCAGCCAUGCCGCGUGAGUGAUGAAGGCCCUAGGGUUGUAAAGCUCUUUCACCGGUGAAGAUAAUGACGGUAACCGGAGAAGAAGCCCCGGCUAACUUCGUGCCAGCAGCCGCGGUAAUACGAAGGGGGCUAGCGUUGUUCGGAUUUACUGGGCGUAAAGCGCACGUAGGCGGACUAUUAAGUCAGGGGUGAAAUCCCGGGGCUCAACCCCGGAACUGCCUUUGAUACUGGUAGUCUUGAGUUCGAGAGAGGUGAGUGGAACUCCGAGUGUAGAGGUGAAAUUCGUAGAUAUUCGGAGGAACACCAGUGGCGAAGGCGGCUCACUGGCUCGAUACUGACGCUGAGGUGCGAAAGCGUGGGGAGCAAACAGGAUUAGAUACCCUUGUAGUCCCAUGA
Molecule: ribosomal RNA, 454 nt
Filed under: uncultured organism
Description: partial 16S ribosomal RNA
Rfam family: Bacterial small subunit ribosomal RNA
Source: RNAcentral